GACGAACGCUGGCGGCGUGCUUAACACAUGCAAGUCGAACGGAAAGGCCCUGCUUGCAGGGUACUCGAGUGGCGAACGGGUGAGUAACACGUGGGUGAUCUGCCCUGCACUUCGGGAUAAGCCUGGGAAACUGGGUCUAAUACCGGAUAGGAGCCAUUUUUAGUGUGAUGGUUGGAAAGUUUUUUCGGUGUAGGAUGAGCUCGCGGCCUAUCAGCUUGUUGGUGGGGUAAUGGCCUACCAAGGCGGCGACGGGUAGCCGGCCUGAGAGGGUGGACGGCCACAUUGGGACUGAGAGACGGCCCAGACUCCGACGGGAGGCAGCAGGGGGGAAUAUUGCACAAGGGGCGCAAGUCUGAUGCAGCGACGCCGCGUGGGGGAUGACGGCCUUCGGGCUGUAAACUCCUUUCGCUAGGGACGAAGCUUUUUGUGACGGUACCUAGAUAAGAAGCACCGGCUAACUACGUG
RNAcentral lists this ribosomal RNA (465 nucleotides) under uncultured bacterium. RNAcentral's name for it is "partial 16S ribosomal RNA". It matches the Rfam family "Bacterial small subunit ribosomal RNA", at positions 28 to 507 of the family's 1533-position model. The record is from RNAcentral.